Molecule: transfer RNA, 71 nt
Filed under: Capra hircus (goat)
Lineage: Eukaryota; Metazoa; Chordata; Mammalia; Artiodactyla; Bovidae
Also listed under: 1 other name
Rfam family: tRNA
About the family: Transfer RNA (tRNA) molecules are approximately 80 nucleotides in length. Their secondary structure includes four short double-helical elements and three loops (D, anti-codon, and T loops).
Source: Rfam by way of RNAcentral
UCCCUGCUGGUCCAGUGGUUAGGACAUGGUGCUUUUACUGCUGUGAGCCAGGUUCAAUCCCUGGUCGGGAA